Molecule: ribosomal RNA, 483 nt
Filed under: Arthrobacter sp. AL19
Lineage: Bacteria; Bacillati; Actinomycetota; Actinomycetes; Micrococcales; Micrococcaceae
Description: bacterial SSU rRNA
Rfam family: Bacterial small subunit ribosomal RNA
Source: RNAcentral
GCUUGCUGGGGGGAUUAGUGGCGAACGGGUGAGUAACACGUGAGUAACCUGCCCUUGACUCUGGGAUAAGCCUGGGAAACUGGGUCUAAUACCGGAUAUGACUCCUCAUCGCAUGGUGGGGGGUGGAAAGCUUUUGUGGUUUUGGAUGGACUCGCGGCCUAUCAGCUUGUUGGUGGGGUAAUGGCCUACCAAGGCGACGACGGGUAGCCGGCCUGAGAGGGUGACCGGCCACACUGGGACUGAGACACGGCCCAGACUCCUACGGGAGGCAGCAGUGGGGAAUAUUGCACAAUGGGCGGAAGCCUGAUGCAGCGACGCCGCGUGAGGGAUGACGGCCUUCGGGUUGUAAACCUCUUUCAGUAGGGAAGAAGCCGCAAGGUGACGGUACCUGCACAAGAAGCGCCGGCUAACUACGUGCCAGCAGCCGCGGUAAUACGUAGGGCGCAAGCGUUAUCCGGAAUUAUUGGGCGUAAAGAGCUCGUA